UUAGUGGCGGGACGGGUGAGUAACGCGUGGAAAACUACGCGUAUACUGGGGGAGUAACACUUAGAAAUAGGUGCUAAUACCGCAUAAGCGCACAGCUUCGCAUGAAGCGGUGUGAAAAACUACUGGUGGUAUACGAUGGUUCCGCGUCUGAUUAGCUAGUUGGUGGGGUAAGUGGCCUACCAAGGCAACGAUCAGUAGCCGGCCUGAGAGGGUGAACGGCCACAUUGGGACUGAGACACGGCCCAAACUCCUACGGAAGGCAGCAG
This 266-nucleotide ribosomal RNA is filed under the name uncultured bacterium. Its description in RNAcentral is "partial 16S ribosomal RNA". It matches the Rfam family "Bacterial small subunit ribosomal RNA", at positions 92 to 354 of the family's 1533-position model. The record is from RNAcentral.